Molecule: ribosomal RNA, 119 nt
Organism: Lates calcarifer (barramundi perch)
Lineage: Eukaryota; Metazoa; Chordata; Actinopteri; Centropomidae
Source: Ensembl
GCUUACGGCCACACCACCCUGAGCGCGCCUGAUCUCGUCUGAUCUCGGAAGCUAAGCAGGGUCGGGCCUGGUUAGUACUUGGAUGGGAGACCGCCUGGGAAUACCAGGUGCCGUAAGCU